Molecule: non-coding RNA, 221 nt
Filed under: Candidatus Atribacteria bacterium
Lineage: Bacteria; Pseudomonadati; Atribacterota; Atribacteria
Description: 6S RNA
Rfam family: 6S / SsrS RNA
About the family: E. coli 6S RNA was the first non coding RNA to be sequenced, but its function was unknown until recently.
Source: RNAcentral
GUUACCCUGCUGUGAGCGCUAAUCUGAUUAAGUUUUGACCCAACACUUUUUUAAAAAGGUAAUCGAACUCCAGGUGUGUAAUGCAAGCCUGUGGUACCCGAAAGGGAUGCCUAAAAUUAACAGAAAUGUUAGUUAACUGGAAGCAUGAGGCAUCUGGGUAGAUAUCCACCUGUUUGAGGAUCGGAAUCAAAACUUGAUGUUAGCGACAUAGCAGGGUUGUU